Molecule: non-coding RNA, 24 nt
Filed under: Arabidopsis thaliana (thale cress)
Lineage: Eukaryota; Viridiplantae; Streptophyta; Magnoliopsida; Brassicales; Brassicaceae
Source: RNAcentral
ACACGUAUCAUCAAAGUAGAGUGU